This 78-nucleotide microRNA precursor is filed under the name Petromyzon marinus (sea lamprey). Its description in RNAcentral is "miRNA (ENSPMAG00000010827.1)". Lineage: Eukaryota; Metazoa; Chordata; Hyperoartia; Petromyzontiformes; Petromyzontidae. The record is from RNAcentral.
CGCCCGGCAACCACGGCGGCGGCGGCGGUGGUGGCGGCGGCGGCGGUGGCGGCGGCGGUGGCGGCGGCGGCGGUGGCG